AACGAACGCUGGCGGCAUGCCUAACACAUGCAAGUCGAACGAGACCUUCGGGUCUAGUGGCGCACGGGUGCGUAACGCGUGGGAACCUGCCCUUAGGUUCGGAAUAACUCCCCGAAAGGGGUGCUAAUACCGGAUAAUGUCUUCGGACCAAAGAUUUAUCGCCUUUGGAUGGGCCCGCGUUGGAUUAGCUAGUUGGUAGGGUAAAAGCCUACCAAGGCGACGAUCCAUAGCUGGUCUGAGAGGAUGAUCAGCCACACUGGGACUGAGACACGGCCCAGACUCCUAGGGGGGGCAGCAGUGGGGAAUAUUGGACAAGGGGCGAAAGCCUGACCCAGAAAUGCCGGGUGAGUGAUGAAGGCCUUAGGGUUGUAAAGCUUUUUUACCCGGGAUGAUAAUGACAGGACCGGGAGAAUAAGCCCCGGCUAACCCCGU
Molecule: ribosomal RNA, 432 nt
Filed under: uncultured bacterium
Lineage: Bacteria
Description: partial 16S ribosomal RNA
Rfam family: Bacterial small subunit ribosomal RNA
Source: RNAcentral